UGACUGAUGUAUGACCUAAUCUAUUCUUUGUACUAAGUCUAAGUUUGGGAAGUCCCAAAUAAUCUAUCUUUUUAUCUUUUUUUUCAUCACAUCACCUCUCUACUUUUCUGCACAUCUUUUCGUAAAAAGACAAAAAGUACACUUAUUUAGGUCAUCCCAAACAACCCCUAAAUUCAUAGAUGGCUUCUCCAUAAAUUGAUCCUAUCAAUUGGAAAAGCGGACUAUGCUUCUUGGUUGUCCGGCAGUCAUGUAUUUUAAAUUAUCCACAAAACAUACAAGAGAUACAGAUUGUUAAUCAAAUAUCAUCGAUUUGUUUAAAUAUUGUAUAAUUCAAUCUAAGCAUGAUUGAACUGUCUAAUGGGUUACACAUCAACAAAAUUUUCUUGUAUCAA
Molecule: non-coding RNA, 392 nt
Organism: Camellia sinensis
Lineage: Eukaryota; Viridiplantae; Streptophyta; Magnoliopsida; Ericales; Theaceae
Source: RefSeq, a predicted model, not a curated record